RNAcentral lists this unclassified non-coding RNA (354 nucleotides) under Zapoteca formosa subsp. rosei. Its description in RNAcentral is "partial external transcribed spacer". Lineage: Eukaryota; Viridiplantae; Streptophyta; Magnoliopsida; Fabales; Fabaceae. The record is from RNAcentral.
GGUGUUUGGAUUGCCUCUUCCGUCUGGCUCCGUGCUCGUGCAUUGAACGGUCGGCAUGCGAUCCUCGUCCCUUGAUGUGAGGUGUGUUUGAUGCCUCGCAGGUUGGUUCUUGUGCAGCCUACCAUUUUGGGUAAAGGAGGACCCUUUGAUGGUUUGCCUCCAUCCUGCGCCUGGCAAUGGGUGCAGGGGAGGAUGAAGCACCCCCGUGUUCCACUGAGCCUUGAUUGGUCACGUGGCCCUCGGGGUCGUGCAAUGCCCUUGGAUGCAGCGCAUGCGGCGGGCGAGGCCUGGUCCUCGUCCUAAGAGUAUCUUCGAUGUAAUGCAAGACGGUCGCACUCGUUCGCAGUCCGCUUA